CGCAGAUCGACAGGGACAAAGCAUCAUUUUUUAUGGCUGCAAUGGUUGCAUAGAUAAGAUUCAGUCGCCCGCCGUCCGCGUCGCCGAGCAGGCACUACACCAAUUGCGCAUUCGAUGCAAUCCAAUACUAUCAACGUCAAUAAGACAGUGAUUAUCAUUUAUUUGUUUACUUCACAAUUUGUUCAUAAUUGAAAAAGUAAUAAAAAUCGAUAGAUAAACGAAUUGAGCUCAGCAAUAAUACAUAGGUACAUUGUGGUCAAUGGAUGCAGUGUAAUGAAAACAGUGAAAAACCAAGACCGCGUGGUAUCGUCGCAUCCACGCCGCUAGUACGACUCCGCAAAACCUUCGUGUCUGAUCCACUGAGACUACGUAAUGGAGGCGGCAGAUCGUUCCAGCACUUGGACGCGGCGAACCUGAAACUCCCGCGGAAGGCAGUAGUACGGUGACGCGGUAUUGCCAGUGAGUAAUACGUCGAGCGAGUUUUGUACGACUUCACGUCACGUGACCACACCAAUUUCUCAGCGAGAUACGGCGGCGUAUGAUGUUUCACUACACCAAACAAGAGCGUUGCAAGAUGUAGUUGUCUCCGUGCAUUCAUCUUCAUAAUAUUGGCAUUGUUUAUAAAUGGCGUGACGUGUGUGCGUGGUGGUAUAUUGAAGCAAAAUCGUGCGCAGGCAUUUUGAACUCUUUGUAUGAGUUUUUGUGACCGGGUAAGGAGUCGCGGACCAUAUACUACAUCCAUAUAGUUAAAUUUCGACAUAACGAGAGUGUCGCAAAGUUUGAUGCGGGUCUCAGUAUUAAUAUAGUUCCUGAUUUGGUAUAAUGUCUUGAGACGAUAAAAACAA
RNAcentral lists this long non-coding RNA (845 nucleotides) under Pectinophora gossypiella (pink bollworm). Its description in RNAcentral is "uncharacterized LOC126379105". The record is from RNAcentral. Lineage: Eukaryota; Metazoa; Arthropoda; Insecta; Lepidoptera; Gelechiidae.